This 253-nucleotide ribosomal RNA is filed under the name uncultured bacterium. Its description in RNAcentral is "partial 16S ribosomal RNA". It matches the Rfam family "Bacterial small subunit ribosomal RNA", at positions 524 to 776 of the family's 1533-position model. The record is from RNAcentral.
UACGGAGGAUCCAAGCGUUAUCCGGAAUCAUUGGGUUUAAAGGGUCCGUAGGUGGACGGUUAAGUCAGAGGUGAAAUCCUGCAGCUCAACUGUAGAAUUGCCUUUGAUACUGGUCGUCUUGAGUCGUUGUGAAGUGGUUGGAAUAUGUAGUGUAGCGGUGAAAUGCAUAGAUAUUACAUAGAACACCGAUUGCGAAGGCAGAUCACUAACAACGUACUGACACUGAUGGACGAAAGCGUGGGGAGCGAACAGG